UACGUAGGGUGCAAGCGUUGUCCGGAAUUAUUGGGCGUAAAGAGCUCGUAGGCGGUCAGUCGCGUCUGCUGUGAAAACUCGGGGCUUAACUCCGGGCCUGCAGUGGGUACGGGCUGACUAGAGUGCGGUAGGGGAGACUGGAAUUCCUGGUGUAGCGGUGAAAUGCGUAGAUAUCUGGAGGAACACCGGUGGCGAAGGCGGCAUCCUGGACCGGCAUUGACGCUGAGGAGCGAAAGCCAGGGGAGCAAACGGG
Molecule: ribosomal RNA, 253 nt
Filed under: uncultured bacterium
Lineage: Bacteria
Description: partial 16S ribosomal RNA
Rfam family: Bacterial small subunit ribosomal RNA
Source: RNAcentral